RNAcentral lists this long non-coding RNA (654 nucleotides) under Numida meleagris (helmeted guineafowl). RNAcentral's name for it is "lncRNA (ENSNMEG00000010890.1)". The record is from RNAcentral. Lineage: Eukaryota; Metazoa; Chordata; Aves; Galliformes; Numididae.
AGGGAAGCUGGGGAAGAAGUAAUACAGGAUCUAUGGAGGAAAGCAGUACUGACUCCUGAGAGAAAGCAGACCUGCCCUUAAACAGGAAGGAAAAUAUGAUCUGCAAGGCAGGAGAAAACAAAUCUCUAGACAGUAAUUCAUACAGCAUGGAUUUGAACAGGAAGAGGAUUCACUUUUAUGCUCUUGAGACUCAAAUGCUUACCAUAACGAUUUCCCAGAGCGUACCAGUGCACUUGGUGUCAAUGAAGGCUAAUUCGACAGUGUUAUCUUCAGAUACAAAAAGCAUCAUAUACCACCUCUCUGACACUCAGGAAGAAUAAUCUGUGAGCAUUUUACAUCUUUGUAUCUCAAUACACUUUGAAAAAAAGAAAGUGUAAGUGAUCUCAUCCAUACCUUACCUAACAAGGAACUGAAGAACAGAAGAGACUCAGGGUAUGUGUUACAUGUGCUAGAAGCACAAAGAACAUGUCCUUUCUAAAUAUUAGCCCUCUCUGUCUUUCUCUUCCCCUUACUUUCCUCCUUUUGUAUUAGGAAGUGUGCUGUCAAUGACUCUCUUACAACUGACCACAUAAUAUUACAAAUGUCAAGAUACUGAAAACUAAACAACUGGAAAAAAGCAACUGCAAAGUGAGACUGUUAUUAAGUUUUUCUUUU